Molecule: microRNA precursor, 69 nt
Filed under: Medicago truncatula (barrel medic)
Lineage: Eukaryota; Viridiplantae; Streptophyta; Magnoliopsida; Fabales; Fabaceae
Description: MIR2629 microRNA precursor family
Rfam family: MIR2629 microRNA precursor family
Source: Rfam by way of RNAcentral
GUUUUCAGUUUUCCUCGGUAGUUAACUGCAGCCGGUUCCAUAACUUGGCAGUUAACUGCCGAUGGACAU